UUUACUAUUUCUCAAAUAAAAAAAAACCCUAGCAGUAGCAACUAUUUCUCAAGCCGCCUCCUCCCUUUAUCAUCGUUCCUUUCUCUCUCUCUCUCUCGGAUAGGCGGACGGUCCAGGCGAGUGAAUGGACAGGCCGGCAAGCGGACGGACAGCGACGACCUCUCACCUUUCCCAUCUCUGUCUCUCUCGGUUCUUUGUGCGACGAUUUUUGAGUUUCCAUUGCCGGUCGUCGCCCCUCAACCACGCCCAGGACAGCAGCUCGAAAGUGUGAACUAACCACGCACCACCGACGAUCUUUUCGUUUGCAGGCACAAUAGUUGCCUCACAAAGGGAGAACCUAACUGAAAGUGUGAACAAGGCUAUUGGCGAAGACGACGACUGUGGAUACUUUGAAAUGGUUAAGACGAAGCAUCAAAAGUCCGAACCCAAGAGGCAAACUCACGUUACGGGCGGUUGGGGGUUUGCUCUGCACGGGUUCGCAAGUAGCUGUUCUUGCAUUGUCGGGGUUCACAGGUGGCUAGUUCCGUCGUAGAGGUUGGGUGUUUGGAUGGGAUAUUAGGAGCUUUCCAAAGUAAAAAUUUUAUCACAUUUAUUUUGGGUUUCAUAAAUUUGGUUUUGAUUUAGUAAUGGUUCUCAUAAUCUUCACA
Molecule: long non-coding RNA, 647 nt
Organism: Cannabis sativa
Lineage: Eukaryota; Viridiplantae; Streptophyta; Magnoliopsida; Rosales; Cannabaceae
Exons: 3
Source: RefSeq, a predicted model, not a curated record